Molecule: ribosomal RNA, 370 nt
Filed under: Esox lucius (northern pike)
Lineage: Eukaryota; Metazoa; Chordata; Actinopteri; Esociformes; Esocidae
Description: partial 16S ribosomal RNA
Rfam family: Bacterial large subunit ribosomal RNA
Source: RNAcentral
GGUAGCGCAAUCACUUGUCUUUUAAAUGAAGACCUGUAUGAAUGGCAUCACGAGGGCUUAGCUGUCUCCUCUUUCAAGUCAAUGAAAUUGAUCUGCCCGUGCAGAAGCGGACAUAAGAACAUAAGACGAGAAGACCCUAUGGAGCUUUAGACACCCGGCAGACCCUGUUAAGUAGCUGAACUAUCAGAUUAAAACAAAGCGGCCCCUGGCCUACAUGUCUUCGGUUGGGGCGACCACGGGGGAAAACAAAGCCCCCACGAGGAUUAAGGAAAACCUCCUUAUAACCACGAGCGACAGCUCUAAGUCUCAGAACUUCUGACCAAAAAGAUCCGACACCAGUCGAUCAACGGACCAAGUUACCCUAGGGAUA